RNAcentral lists this ribosomal RNA (213 nucleotides) under uncultured bacterium. RNAcentral describes it as "partial 16S ribosomal RNA". It matches the Rfam family "Bacterial small subunit ribosomal RNA", at positions 524 to 730 of the family's 1533-position model. The record is from RNAcentral.
UACGAAGGGUGCAAGCGUUAAUCGGAAUUACUGGGCGUAAAGCGCACGUAGGCGGUUCGUUAAGUCGGAUGUGAAAUCCCCGGGCGUCAACCUGGGACCGUGCAUUCGUAUACUGGCGAACUUAGAGUAUGAUAGAGGGGGGUGGGAAUUCCAGGUGUAGCGGUGAAAUAGCGUAGAUAUCUGGAGGAACAUCAGUGGCGAAGGCGGCCCCCU